RNAcentral lists this ribosomal RNA (269 nucleotides) under uncultured bacterium. RNAcentral describes it as "partial 16S ribosomal RNA". It matches the Rfam family "Bacterial small subunit ribosomal RNA", at positions 333 to 619 of the family's 1533-position model. The record is from RNAcentral.
GUCUGCCUACGGGACGCAGCAGUGUGGGAUAUUGCACAAUGGGGGGAACCCUGAUGCAGCGACGCCGCGUGGGUGAAGAAGCGCCUCGGCGCGUAAAGCCCUGUCAGCAGGGAAGAAAAUGACAGUACCUGACCAAGAAGCCCCGGCUAACUACGUGCCAGCAGCCGCGGUAAUACGUAGGGGGCAAGCGUUAUCCGGAUUUACUGGGUGUAAAGGGAGCGUAGACGGUUAUGUAAGUCUGGAGUGAAAGCCCGGGGCCCAACCCCGGG